RNAcentral lists this ribosomal RNA (497 nucleotides) under uncultured bacterium. Its description in RNAcentral is "partial 16S ribosomal RNA". It matches the Rfam family "Bacterial small subunit ribosomal RNA", at positions 28 to 507 of the family's 1533-position model. The record is from RNAcentral.
GACGAACGCUGGCGGCGUGCCUAAUACAUGCAAGUCGAACGAACGGAUAAAGAGCUUGCUCUUUUGAAGUUAGUGGCGGACGGGUGAGUAACACGUGGGUAACCUGCCUCACAGCUGGGGAUAACAUCGAGAAAUCGAUGCUAAUACCGAAUGUGCUGAACAUCAUAAGAUGUUCAAGUGAAAGACGGUUUCAGCUGUCACUGUGAGAUGGACCCGCGCUGGAUUAGCUAGUUGGUAAGGUAAUGGCUUACCAAGGCGACGAUCCAUAGCCGACCUGAGAGGGUGAUCGGCCACAUUGGGACUGGGACACGGCCCAAACUCCUACGGGAGGCAGCAGUCGGGAAUCUUCGGCAAUGGACGAAAGUCUGACCGAGCAACGCCGCGUGAGCGAAGAAGGCCUUCGGGUCGUAAAGCUCUGUUGUUAGAGAAGAACAUGGGUGAGAAUAACUGUUCACCCCUUGACGGUAUCUAACCAGAAAGCCACGGCUAACUACGUG